This 83-nucleotide ribosomal RNA is filed under the name Grammatophyllum speciosum. RNAcentral describes it as "5.8S ribosomal RNA". It matches the Rfam family "5.8S ribosomal RNA", at positions 1 to 78 of the family's 154-position model. Rfam says of the family: 5.8S ribosomal RNA (5.8S rRNA) is a component of the large subunit of the eukaryotic ribosome. It is transcribed by RNA polymerase I as part of the 45S precursor that also contains 18S and 28S rRNA. Functionally, it is thought that 5.8S rRNA may be involved in ribosome translocation. Lineage: Eukaryota; Viridiplantae; Streptophyta; Magnoliopsida; Asparagales; Orchidaceae. The record is from RNAcentral.
GACAUGACUCUUGGCAAUAGAUUUCUUGGCUCUCGCAUCGAUGAAGAGCGUAACGAAAUGCGAUACGUGGUACGAAUGGCAAA